AGAAGCAUAACUCAUUUAAAAUUCCAUCCAGCUUUCCAGGAAGGUAAAUUGUAAUUUUUAAAGGAAUGACAUUCUGUAUAUCUUGAUAGGAUGUGUUUUUAAAUGUAUUUAAUCAAGGAGAAUCAUUCUACUUCCAGACAGUCACAAGCACAGUUUUUCUCUGAUAAAUGUGUUCAGUAACUCACAUUAACUAUGAACACCUAUACACAGCAAAUGCCUAGCAGGUCACAAAAGAUGGACUAGUCAUUUUUACCACAAUGGUCACAACAAACACCAAAUAAUUGCUCAGAAAUAAUAGAAACAGCAAUGAGUUGUACAAUGAAAGCAUCCUUUACCAAUGCACUCAUUUGUUUGCACCAAAUGAGGAACGGUGGAAUGUGAUUGGAUAAGCAAUGCCUGCCUGACUGUCUAGGUACACAGUGACUUCCAUGUUUGUAUAUGCCUGACUGUCUAGGUACACAGUGACGUCCAUGUUUGUAUAUGUCUGACUGUCUAGGUACACAGUGACGGCCCAUGUUUGUAUAUGCUUGACUGUCUAGGUACACAGUGACGGCCCAUGUUUGUAUAUGCCUGACUGUCUAGGUACACAGUGACGGCCCAUGUUUGUAUAUGCCUGACUGUCCAGGUACACAGUGACGGCCCAUGUUUGUAUAUGCCUGACUGUCUAGGUACACAGUGACGGCCCAUGUUUGUAUAUGCCUGACUGUCUAGGUACACAGUGACGGCCCAUGUUUGUAUAUGCCUGACUGUCUAGGUUCAAAGACUUUUAUGUUUAGAGUAUUCAUUGUGAGUUGAGCUGAUCCUAAAGUAGCAAUAGACGACCAUUAGUGGAGUUUUACUAUUCUAAAACCCUUUUUAAACUUCAAAUUUUAACUAUGUAUAUACUGUACUUUUAAAAUGUGUAGAGAUGUUUUUUUUAAAAAUAUUUAUUGAGCCAGUAGUUCUGAAAGUAGCGCUCAUGAGACAAAACUGGUCCUCGAAAAUUGCGUACUACGACACGUGCAGGUAUGUGCAUCACAUCUUAGCUUUCUCUUUUGCUCUGCUUUGUGUGUAUCUUGCUAGCUGUCACUCAAACGGCGAGGGGCUGAAGCUCAUUGGCUUGAACUUGAAUUGCUAGGGGGCUGACCCAUGUGGGAGAAAAUUUAGGGAAAAUGGCACCUCUCACCUUCCAGCUUUCAAACUAGAGAUUCCGUGGCUAAUUUGAGGUUAGACAGUAAUUAUUCUCAUAGAUUCUGCAUGUAUGAUUUACAUGUUGACACAUGCAGCCCAAAGUGGGAGGUUUAAUAAAUACUUACUAGUCACCAAUGUUCUUGAGCAUGUCUUUGAAUUGAAUAAUAAUCUGCGUUAACUCAUUAUAUAUCACCAGUAGCCCAGCCAUGUGCUAGAAAUAUUUGUAAACAACUUAAACAAGUGUAAUAUAUUGCAGAUUAUGGAUUUAAAAAAGAUUGUUGUUUAGUCAAUGUGGAGUCUUUACUGAAAAGGAUAAGAGUAAAUGGCAACAAUAAUGAUUAUUUUUCCUAAAAAGUCUUAAAUCCAACUUUUUACAUUUUGUGAGUACAGUGAAGUGUGAUUUGAGUGAGCUGCCAGUGAUUUGGAAAGCUGUACCAUACAAGUUAUUCUACUUAAAGACCCCUGCUACCUGUUUUUAUUUGACUGCAUGUUUUUUAAACACUUAUGUACGUCUCUCUUAUUUUAUUAUACAAAAAAAAAGUUUUUUAUAUGGGGAACUGAUUUGUCGACGACUUCUUGUCUUACUCAGUGUUCAGGCUGUUGAAGGAUGAUUGGUUACACUGUCUUUGUAGAUACUCAACCAGAUAGCAUUGACCCUCGUUUCCAAGCAUGUUUAUUUGUUCUGUACAGUUUGCACUGCCAUGCCAGUUCUCCGCAAAACUUUAGGAACAAUAUUGAAGUAAAAACCAGAUGUAAUUAUGAAC
Long non-coding RNA from Oncorhynchus tshawytscha (Chinook salmon), 1934 nucleotides. The record is from Ensembl. NCBI's taxonomy places the organism in Eukaryota, Metazoa, Chordata, Actinopteri, Salmoniformes, Salmonidae.